This 489-nucleotide ribosomal RNA is filed under the name uncultured bacterium. Its description in RNAcentral is "partial 16S ribosomal RNA". It matches the Rfam family "Bacterial small subunit ribosomal RNA", at positions 30 to 507 of the family's 1533-position model. The record is from RNAcentral.
AUUGAACGCUGGCGGCAGGCCUAACACAUGCAAGUCGAACGGUAACAGGAAGAAGCUUGCUUCUUUGCUGUCGAGUGGCGGACGGGUGUGACAUGUCUGGGACACUGCCUGAUGGCGGGGGAUACCUACUGGAAACGGUAGCUAUUACCGCAUAUCGUCUCAAGACCAAAAUUGGGACGUUCGGGCCGCUUUCCAUCUGACUUGCCCAGAUGGGAUUAGCUAGUAGGUUGGGUAACGGCUCACCAAGGCGACGAUCCGUAGCUGGCCUGAGAGGAUGACCAGCCACACUGGAACUGAGACACGGUCCAGACUCCUACGGGAGGCAGCAGUGGGGAAUAUUGCACAAUGGGCGAAAGCCUGAUGCAGCCAUGCCGCGUGUAUGAAGAAGGCCUUCGGGUUGUAAAGUACUUUCAGCGGGGAGGAAGGGAGUAAAGUUAAUACCUUCGCUCAUUGACGUUACCCGAAGAAAAAGCACCGGCUAACUCCGUG